GAGAAUGGUGUGUCGUCAGGGCGAUGGCAUCAUCCAUAGAUCUAUUUGGAUGGUAUGCAAAGGGGUCCAAGGUCUCAGGAAGGGUGGAGCAGAUGUGGGUUCUGACCAGCCGUUCGAAGCACCUCAUGUUGAUGGAGGCUGAUAAUUAACAGAUUUUCAGGUGAUAUCAGUUUGUCACACGAUACGGUGAUCGAAAGGCAUACAUGAAAACAGAACGAGAAGAAACACUAACCGACACAAAAUGACAAGCA
This is a long non-coding RNA of Esox lucius (northern pike), 251 nucleotides long. RefSeq lists it as uncharacterized. The record is from RefSeq and is a predicted model, not a curated record. The transcript has 3 exons. NCBI's taxonomy places the organism in Eukaryota, Metazoa, Chordata, Actinopteri, Esociformes, Esocidae.